CAUCUCUACAAGAGCCUUUGCAGUACGGUAAGACAAGGCAAUACGAUAAUUUAAAUCCCCAAGCCAAAUAAUUCGAUCAUGUUCCAGAAUUGUUUGAGGGGAAUUCUCAUCUCCCAUAUCAUGAACUCUAGGAAACCUUGUCUUCCUAAGGAUCUCCAUGACAUCAGAGUUUCUUCGUAGCUCAUCUCCCUCCUUCUGCCCAGAUGUUAAAUGACUACAGAUGAAGCAAAAGCUUGUUUGGUGCAAUGACAUGCUAAUUGAAAUUGAACCCUUGUUUCCAAGAUAACCCAUCAAUCCUCUGCCCACACAAGACACUUUCAUGUUGCGAACAUCAUCUCUGAGAUCACUCUUUACCCAUACUGUUAGAAAUAUUCCAACCAUUUGCUUACUGGCAACUAAACAGUACCUUGAUUGCCCUGUUUGCCUAUCUCUGUCCUCCAAUGAGAAGGAUCCACUGUAGUCAAUUGGUGAAUAAUGAGUGGUACCUGGUGAAUCCCCAGGUGCAUUCUCAUCAUCCGAGGAGCCCCAUUUGAAAUUAGGCUCAUAAUCACUUGGUCUAUGCCCAAAUAUAACUCUAUCACAGACGCUGAAACGUCGAUCAAGUCUAGGUUGAGGCAUUGUCAUGUCGCUAUCCAUUCUCAUGCUCCGGCUCAAUGAUUGAAAGGAGCGACGGUGGAAGAAAGAUGAGGCCUUCUGCCUUGUUGAUCCCUCAAAAUCUGCAUCCAAUUCUACAAUUGGAUCAGGGGUGGGGGAAGGAGUACGAUAACCCGCGCUUGCACCAGGAAGACUAUUUAGAGUCUUCCUAAUAAGAGCUAACCAUUUUCUGGCUGGACCGUUGUCUUCUGUACCCAAGACAUUGCCAGCAUUUAGAGGAACAAUUUCUUGAAACCCAAGAACAUAAAUGUCGGCGGGAGGAGAGGUAUGAAGCCAAUCUUCAAGAUUCAAAUAACUUGGAGGAGAUUUUCCAGCCACAUUCCAUGUUGCUACAAAAAUCCUGCAGUCCCAUAGCAAUUAAAGCACGAUAAAAACCCAGCUCUCAGCAGGAAACAGAUCCUAUGCACCACAAUGAACACACCUAUAAUUGUGUACAUCAGUGACUUGAGCAGCAUCAAUGUCAAUCUUACUUCUUCGGACUCGAUCAGAAUUCCUCCUGUUCAAUCGCUCUGUUUUGCUUUUCUUGAUGGUGCAUGCCUCUCUCUCUGAGAAGUUGGUUCUCCAAUCUUCAUCACCACCUCCGCAAAUGACAUCAUCUGCUUGAAAUUCCUCAGCUUUGCUCUUGAUAUUGAACCACUUCUUGACCAGUGUCUUGGGCCAUGAAAGCUUGCUUUUCUUCGAGUUCCCAUCUCUCAUUGUUUCACAAAUUCAUAAAGCCUUCCAAAUUUUUACGGCAAUAAUGAUAAAUUUCAGUUCCUCUUUAUUAAACUAUCACUCGAUAUCUUCUGGGUUUUGCUCAGAAUAGAAUUUGAAUAGAAAGAAACCUGGAAACAAAAUUUUUUGGAAAGAGCCCAGAAUAAGUUUAUUUAGAACGCUCUGGUUUUAUGCUAAACCCAACGGGGAAUAACUAGGUGAAUAAGGCGAGGGAGAUGAAGAGAAGAAAUGGGUAAUGCUUUGCUUGCUCAAGAAAUGAAGAGAAAAUAAUCGAGGCAACAUAGAAAGUCCCAGUUCCUCGGCAUUUUAUAAACAGAAAGUGAAAUCCAAGAACUACCCAGUUGCCCGGUUCAGGCUUUCUUCCUUCUCUUCCCUUGCGAGUCCAGUUCAGAGAAAACAGAGAAAAUGAAGAAAAUAUGAGAAACUGAAAGAGAGGCAAUUAAAACCGGAAACAGACAGAGAGAGAAAUGAUGCGUGAAAGUAAGACUAUGAGAUUCUGAGAGUAUAAUAAGACAAUGUACGAGACACAAAAAGGAAGACAGAGAGAGAAACUCAGGGUAACAAAAAACCUCGUUCUGGGGCACAGAGCAAAGUAUCGAAUUUGAAGAAAAGAAUAAAGUGCAAGAGCAAGGUGAAAGAGCUCCCACACGCACACAAAAACUCCCUCCCUUCUCUCUCUC
This 2048-nucleotide unclassified non-coding RNA is filed under the name Hevea brasiliensis (rubber tree). Lineage: Eukaryota; Viridiplantae; Streptophyta; Magnoliopsida; Malpighiales; Euphorbiaceae. The record is from RNAcentral.